This is a non-coding RNA of Colletotrichum godetiae, 128 nucleotides long. NCBI's taxonomy places the organism in Eukaryota, Fungi, Ascomycota, Sordariomycetes, Glomerellales, Glomerellaceae. The record is from the annotation of a RefSeq genome assembly.
GCGUGGUUGGAGUAGUGGUUAACUCGUUGCCCUCCCAUCAUCGGCAAAAGGCAGAAAGUAAGUCAAUAUCUCUCCCAAGAAGGAAUUUCGCUGACGAAACAGCACUGGUUCGAACCCGGUGCCGCGCA